Long non-coding RNA from Lepidothrix coronata (blue-crowned manakin), 479 nucleotides. The record is from Ensembl. NCBI's taxonomy places the organism in Eukaryota, Metazoa, Chordata, Aves, Passeriformes, Pipridae.
UGUGCUUUGGCUGGUGAUCAGGCUGUGCUAUUGUGGAAGGCUUUCUGCUUCACUGACCAUGUGAUAUUUUCAAUAUCUAGGUACUACACGAGUGUGUGAGAAUAUUGCAAGCCAUCUGUUGAACUAUGGACGCCGUAUCCCUCUGGAGGAGUGGGAUGCCAGGAUUUCUGCUGUUGAUGCAAGAAUGGUGAGAGAUGUCUGCAGUAAAUACAUUUAUGACAAAUGCCCGGCAAUUGCAGCAGUGGGUCCCAUUGAACAGCUCUUGGAUUACAACCGUCUCCGCAGUGCCAUGUACUGGAUCCGUCUCUAGGAUGUGUGCCUGCAGGUUGGAAGGAGUGAAGCUGUGGACUGUGACAGGUUCCUUCUGCCACUGAAUGCCUUGUGCACCACGGGCAGGCUGAGUCCAUUCAAAGCAGCUGUCUUCUCGGUGUUAAAUGUAUAAAAAUAAAAACAUCCCGUGUGGAGUUGGUUCUGCUGGG